GUCUUCGGACCGGUGCGCGGUUGCGUUAAGUUACUACGUCGCCGAUGUUGCUGGGAAGAUGACCAAACUUGAUCAUUUAGAGGAAGUAAAAGUCGUAACAAGGUUUCCGUAGGUG
RNAcentral lists this ribosomal RNA (115 nucleotides) under Oryctes agamemnon. RNAcentral describes it as "partial 18S ribosomal RNA". It matches the Rfam family "Eukaryotic small subunit ribosomal RNA", at positions 1706 to 1811 of the family's 1831-position model. Lineage: Eukaryota; Metazoa; Arthropoda; Insecta; Coleoptera; Scarabaeidae. The record is from RNAcentral.